Schistosoma curassoni is the source of this 46-nucleotide non-coding RNA. The record is from Rfam. NCBI's taxonomy places the organism in Eukaryota, Metazoa, Platyhelminthes, Trematoda, Strigeidida, Schistosomatidae.
ACAUUGCUGAGGAGUCCCACCAUAGGACGAGACGGCCGUCCAUUGU